Molecule: transfer RNA, 70 nt
Filed under: Marmota monax (woodchuck)
Lineage: Eukaryota; Metazoa; Chordata; Mammalia; Rodentia; Sciuridae
Description: tRNA.Ala
Source: RNAcentral
GGGGUUGUGGCUCAGCGGUAGAGUGCUCGCCUAGCACUUGAGAGGCUCUGCAUUCAAACCCCAGGCUCUG